GAGUGCGCCCUUCUCGGGUCCCCUAGGUCGCGGGGCAGCCGGGGCGGAAGGGGCUUGUUCAUUAUUUUGAGAGUUUGUUGUGAACGUCAUAACCUUUCGUCCUUAAAUAUUGCCGAUACUUGACCUACGCAAGAGACAAUGUCAUGUGAUUCAGCCUAAUAUCUCAGAGGAUGCAGCAUUCAAGGUUCUAUCUUGGAAGCAGAGACUGUGCCCUCACCAGAUGCUGAACCUGCUGAGCACCCUGAUCUUCCACUUCACCUUCAUCAGAACUGUCUUUGAGGAAUUGUCACACUGUCUUCUGCAAUGGAUGAACUAAUUUACACUCUCAACAACAGUGUAUAAGCAUUCCUUUUGCUCUGCAACCUCACCAGACAUCUGGACGCGCAUGAAAUUUGGUGCCGUGACUCGGAUCGGCGGACCUCCCUUAGGAGAUCAAUCCCCUGUCCUCCUGCUCUUUGCUCCAUGAGAAAGAUCCACCUACGACCUAAGGUCCUCAGACCAACCAGCCCAAGAAACAUCUCACCAAUUUCAAAUCCGAAAUCCUUCAUCUAAUCUGGCAAACACAUGUGGCAGGUUUUUCUCACCGCAUAAAAUAUGUUAUAGAGUAGUCCAUCUAUUUCUCUUCCAUGGAAGAGUUCAUCUGGUAGAUUGGACUACCACUUUUCCUUGUCCCGAGUUCUCAUCCCGCAUCCAGGAAGAAUGAGGUUAUGUGGACACCUGGAGGGUGAGCGAGGCUGAGAAAAGCUUUAUUGGGCAACCAGACAGCUCUCAGAAGAGAGGUGACCUGAAGCAGGUAACCCCUAUCUGCAAGAUGAGAGACGUUGAGCUCCAAACUCAGACUAAGAAACUAUAAGAAAUAUGCUUCAAUGAAGAAGCUGUUCAAAAAUGAGUAAGAUUGUUUCCUUGAGGCAAGAAAGAAAUGCAGAAGUCUUGACAAACAAAAGAAGAGAUUGCCUUAGGGAAGGGGACUACAGUGAACACUGAGAACUUCUUCCCACGCUAAGACAAUCUUUACAGAGCAAGACUCCGUCUCAAAAAAAAAAAAAAAA
Molecule: long non-coding RNA, 1049 nt
Filed under: Homo sapiens (human)
Lineage: Eukaryota; Metazoa; Chordata; Mammalia; Primates; Hominidae
Description: long intergenic non-protein coding RNA 882
Source: RNAcentral